This 253-nucleotide ribosomal RNA is filed under the name uncultured bacterium. RNAcentral describes it as "partial 16S ribosomal RNA". It matches the Rfam family "Bacterial small subunit ribosomal RNA", at positions 524 to 776 of the family's 1533-position model. The record is from RNAcentral.
UACAGAGGUCUCAAGCGUUGUUCGGAAUCACUGGGCGUAAAGGGUGCGUAGGCGGCGAGGAAAGUCAGAUGUGAAAUCCGAGGGCCCAACCCUCGAAUAGCAUCCGAUACUUCCCUGCUCGAGAUUUGUAGAGGAGUCUGGAACUCUCGGUGUAGCAGUGAAAUGCGUGGAUAUCGAGAAGAACGCUCGUAGCGAAGGCGAGGCUCUGGGCAAAUUCUGACGCUGAGGCACGAAGGCUAGGGGAGCAAACGGG